RNAcentral lists this ribosomal RNA (507 nucleotides) under uncultured Coxiellaceae bacterium. RNAcentral's name for it is "bacterial SSU rRNA". It matches the Rfam family "Bacterial small subunit ribosomal RNA", at positions 523 to 1030 of the family's 1533-position model. Lineage: Bacteria; Pseudomonadati; Pseudomonadota; Gammaproteobacteria; Legionellales; Coxiellaceae. The record is from RNAcentral.
AUACAGAGGGUGCAAGCGUUAAUCGGAAUUACUGGGCGUAAAGCGCACGCAGGCGGAUAACUAAGUCGGAUGUGAAAGCCCUGGGCUUAACCUGGGAACUGCAUUCGAUACUGGUUGUCUAGAGUAUGGUAGAGGGUAGUGGAAUUUCCGGUGUAGCGGUGAAAUGCGUAGAUAUCGGAAAGAACACCAGUGGCGAAGGCGGCUACCUGGACCAAUACUGACGCUCAGGUGCGAAAGCGUGGGGAGCAAACAGGAUUAGAGACCCUGGUAGUCCACGCCGUCAACGAUGAGAACUAGAUGUUGGAUGGCUUAGCCAUUUAGUAUCGAAGCUAACGCGUUAAGCUCUCCGCCUGGGGAGUACGGCCGCAAGGUUAAAACUCAAAGGAAUUGACGGGGCCCGCACAAGCGGUGGAGCAUGUGGUUUAAUUCGAUGCAACGCGAAGAACCUUACCUACCCUUGACAUUCUUGGAAUCCUCUAGAGAUAGAGGAGUGCCUUCGGGAACCAA